This 872-nucleotide ribosomal RNA is filed under the name uncultured bacterium. RNAcentral's name for it is "bacterial SSU rRNA". It matches the Rfam family "Archaeal small subunit ribosomal RNA", at positions 142 to 906 of the family's 1478-position model. The record is from RNAcentral.
UGGGAUGAUGCCACAUAGGCGGGGGAUGCUGGAACGCGCCCCCUUCAAAACGGAACACACCAUGCAAGUGUUCCGCCUCAGGAUGGGACUGCGGCGGAUUAGGUAGUUGGCGGGGUAAAUGCCCACCAAGCCUACGAUCCGUACGGGCCUUGAGAGAGGGAGCCCGGAGAAGGACACUGAGGAAAGGGUCCUAGCCCUACGGGGUGCAGCAGGCGCGAAAAUUCUGCAAUGCACGAAAGUGUGACAGAGGGAUUUCGAGUGCAAGCUUUGCUUGCUUUUGCCAACUCCAAAAAGGUUGGCGAAUAAGGGGGGGGUAAGAUACGUGCCAGCCGCCGCGGUAAUACGUACUCCCCGAGUGGUAUCCACUAAUAUUGGGCCUAAAGCGUCCGUAGCCGGUCCUGUAAGUCCUUGGUGAAAUCAACGGGCUCAACUCGUUGAAUGGCCUGGGAUACUGCAGGGCUCGAGGUCGGGAGAGGUGAAUGGAAUUUCCGGAGUAGGAGUGAAAUCUAGUGAUCCCGGAAGGACCCCCAGUAGCGAAGGCGAUUCACCAGAACGAGCCUGACGGUGAGGGACGAAAGCUGAGGGAGCGACCCGGAUUAGAUUUGGAAUUGAGGAAAGGCAAAAAGCCCUGGUUAUUUUUUGUAAGGUUCCGAACCUUAUGCUUAACCAACCAGCGCUUUCUUUCUUCGUUCCACUAAAAACCCGGUUAGUCUCAGCCGUAAACGAUGCGGACUAGGUGUCCUAGCACUCACGAAGUGCGGGGGUGCCGAAGCGAAGGCGUUAAGUCCGCCGCCUGGGAAGUAUUGCCGCAAGGUUGAAACUUAAUGGAAUUGGCGGGGGCGCACUACAAGGGGUGGAUGCUGCGGUUUAAU